Molecule: long non-coding RNA, 1331 nt
Organism: Carya illinoinensis
Lineage: Eukaryota; Viridiplantae; Streptophyta; Magnoliopsida; Fagales; Juglandaceae
Exons: 2
Source: RefSeq, a predicted model, not a curated record
UUGACCGAAGCUUCCUCCUUCAGUUCUGCGCAGCACUUCAUCUCAGACUUAGACUUAGGUUUCGAAACACAUCCCCUUUUCUGCUGCCGCUACCUUCUAUCUUCCACGAUUCUCCACAUUCUCCACACGUUGCCUCUAGCUUCCUUGGCUGGUUGUCACACUGCUUUUGGGUGAUGAUUGAUUUUUCAUUCAGCACUGUCGUGAGGAAGUUUGGAUAAGCUAAGAAAUUCAGGUAAGCAGGGUUCCUAUGCUAGAUUUUGCAUAAAAUAAAUGAACUGAGGUUGAUUUUUGGAAAAGUAUGCAUGUUUUGCUAUGAAAAUAAUUUUGAAACACCUCAGUUAUUUGUUUUGCAUUACUCAUGAAAUUUUGAUUAAGAAUAAGACAUUUGCUGGCAUGACUGGUUUAGAUAUGAGCUAUUUUGGUAUUUGAUUUCUGAGCUAUGCAAAAGAGAGCGAAUAUGAAAUUUUGUGCAUAAAUCAUAUUUUUGUGAUCUGAUUCUGUCAUGUUCUGAAAAUGUUUUGUAUUCGAUAUUAUAUGAUGUGAUUUUUGAAAACCUCUGGCAUAACAUUUUGUUUCUGUUUCAGUUAUGUUCUGACCUUACCACGAGUGUAAAAUUGUGGCCUCUGUUCAGGUUGGUACCAAUUUUUUUGUUUUCGGUGCACCCACUUUGGAAGCAAAGUGGUUUUCUGCGUGGUCUUUCCUGUAUGCACACUCGGGGCUUUGAGAAUAACAAGGGGAAGAUUCACAUUCUCUUUCUGCUCGGUUAGCCGUCGGGGUUUGCACAACCCUACUACGGAGGUUAAACAUGGACUUCUGUUAUGAUGUGAUAUUUCAGUUAUGCUGUGCCGAAGGAACUUUGAAUAAGAAUAUUUUCCUGAAAAUUUUGCUCUUAUAUUUUUUUGAUAACAUGUUCUGAUUCUGCAUUCUGAAAGUGAAACUAUUUUGUUCUGCAUUUUUUUAACUCUGUAAAUGCUCAUGUUUACACACUAGUAUAUGUUUUCUACUUACCGAGUUGUUGAUAACUCACCCCUCAUCUCCAAAUAUUUUUCAGAUAAUUUUGAUGGUUCAACGGGAGAUCAAGAGUAGGAAGUUUUAGCAAGUUGUGAUGAUCGUAGUGGAAUAAGUGCCUGAGGGUACAAGUGCUUUUGAGAGUCGUAGUUAGUAAAUUGAUUUAUUUUUAGAUAUUUGAUUUGAUGAGUUAAGGAUAUUUUCGAGUCCUUGGGGAGUUUUUAAUUUAUAUUAUUGAGAAAUUCUUUGUAGUCCCUAUGAAGGAACAUUGAUAUUUGGGUUGUGUGAAUAAAUGAAUAUUUUAUGGAGUUUUCUGAAUUUUA